CUCACAAUAAUUUGAGUCUGUUUUUUCCUCAAAAUAUGAAGUAUUCCGUUUUUAAGCAGAUUAUUUUUUAAAGGAUAACCCCUGUUUGACAGUGCAAUGAAAAAUGUUUGAUGAAUGAACGUGUUUGGAGCAUUAGAACUGGGAAAACUAAGGAAAAGCGUGAACCAGGCAAAGGGAAACAAUCAAUAUAAUAAAGCAUAUUGAUGGAAUUAAUGGUGAAACACAUUGUAUAGUGCAUAGUGCAAAAACGAAAUAAUGUACAGGGUGGCCACUGGAACCUGAUCCAGUUUUAAAGGACAAACUUUUCAAAAAUUAGUUUCAAGUAGGUAUAUAGAAUGCCCCCAAAAUUAACUUACAUAUCAAACAAUCAGUAGUAACAGUAAAUACGCACACAAAUAUUUACAGCGUUAGGUAUAGA
This is a long non-coding RNA of Dendroctonus ponderosae (mountain pine beetle), 418 nucleotides long. RefSeq lists it as uncharacterized. The record is from RefSeq and is a predicted model, not a curated record. NCBI's taxonomy places the organism in Eukaryota, Metazoa, Arthropoda, Insecta, Coleoptera, Curculionidae. The transcript has 2 exons.